RNAcentral lists this ribosomal RNA (515 nucleotides) under uncultured bacterium. Its description in RNAcentral is "partial 16S ribosomal RNA". It matches the Rfam family "Bacterial small subunit ribosomal RNA", at positions 28 to 523 of the family's 1533-position model. The record is from RNAcentral.
GAUGAACGCUGGCGGCGUGCCUGAUACAUGCAAGUCGAGCGAAUGGAUUAAGAGCUUGCUCUUAUGAAGUUAGCGGCGGACGGGUGAGUAACACGUGGGUAACCUGCCCAUAAGACUGGGAUAACUCCGGGAAACCGGGGCUAAUACCGGAUAACAUUUUGAACCGCAUGGUUCGAAAUUGAAAGGCCGCGUCGGCUGUCACUUAUGGAUGGACCCGCGUCGCAUUAGCUAGUUGGUGAGGUAACGGCUCACCAAGGCAACGAUGCGUACCCGACCUGAGAGGGUGAUCGGCCACACUGGGACUGAGACACGGCCCAGACUCCUACGGGAGGCAGCAGUAGGGAAUCUUCCGCAAUGGACGAAAGUCUGACGGAGCAACGCCGCGUGAGUGAUGAAGGCUUUCGGGUCGUAAAACUCUGUUGUUAGGGAAGAACAAGUGCUAGUUGAAUAAGCUGGCACCUUGACGGUACCUAACCAGAAAGCCACGGCUAACUACGUGCCAGCCGCCGCCGUAA